CAGGAUGAACGCUAGCGGCAGGCUUAACACAUGCAAGUCGAGGGGUAACAGGGAGCUUGCUCUGCUGACGACCGGCGCACGGGUGCGUAACGCGUAUACAAUCUGCCUUACACUAAGGGAUAGCCCAGAGAAAUUUGGAUUAAUACCUUAUAGUUUAUUAGAAUGGCAUCAUUUUAAUAAUAAAGAUUACGGUGUAAGAUGAGUAUGCGUCCCAUUAGUUUGUUGGUAAGGUAACGGCUUACCAAGACUACGAUGGGUAGGGGCCCUGAGAGGGGGAUCCCCCACACUGGUACUGAGACACGGACCAGACUCCUACGGGAGGCAGCAGUGAGGAAUAUUGGACAAUGGGCGAGAGCCUGAUCCAGCCAUGCCGCGUGCAGGAAGACGGUCCUAUGGAUUGUAAACUGCUUUUAUACAGGAAGAAUAAGGACUACGUGUAGUCUGGUGACGGUACUGUAAGAAUAAGGACCGGCUAACUCCGUGCCAGCAGCCGCGGUAAUACGGAGGGUCCGAGCGUUAUCCGGAAUUAUUGGGUUUAAAGGGUCCGUAGGCGGGCUAUUAAGUCAGGGGUGAAAGUUUGCAGCUCAACUGUAGAAUUGCCUUUGAUACUGAUAGUCUUGAAUUAUUGUGAAGUGGUUAGAAUAUGUAGUGUAGCGGUGAAAUGCAUAGAUAUUACAUAGAAUACCGAUUGCGAAGGCAGAUCACUAACAAUAUAUUGACGCUGAUGGACGAAAGCGUGGGUAGCGAACAGGAUUAGAUACCCUGGUAGUCCACGCCGUAAACGAUGGAUACUAGCUGUUCGGUUUUCGGACUGAGCGGCCAAGCGAAAGUGAUAA
Molecule: ribosomal RNA, 836 nt
Filed under: uncultured Cellulophaga sp.
Lineage: Bacteria; Pseudomonadati; Bacteroidota; Flavobacteriia; Flavobacteriales; Flavobacteriaceae
Description: bacterial SSU rRNA
Rfam family: Bacterial small subunit ribosomal RNA
Source: RNAcentral